This 23-nucleotide small nuclear RNA is filed under the name Arabidopsis thaliana (thale cress). Its description in RNAcentral is "snRNA_14384". Lineage: Eukaryota; Viridiplantae; Streptophyta; Magnoliopsida; Brassicales; Brassicaceae. The record is from RNAcentral.
ACCUAUAUGUCCCCUAACCAAGA